GACCUCAAAUCAGUAAGAAUACCCGCUGAACUUAAGCAUAUCAUAAGCGGAGGA
Molecule: ribosomal RNA, 54 nt
Filed under: Funneliformis mosseae
Lineage: Eukaryota; Fungi; Glomeromycota; Glomeromycetes; Glomerales; Glomeraceae
Description: partial 28S ribosomal RNA
Source: RNAcentral